CUCACGCCGGCGACGAGCGCGAGGGGCGGAGCCUGCCCGGCGUGAGCGGGGGACGCGUGGUGUGAUUGCCCGGGAGAGAGGCCGGCGCUCCAGUUCCGGGUCAGGCCCUUCUCCCGCCUCCCUCGGCCUCCGCCAUGGCGAGCAGCAGCGGCCCCGGGGCGGCGGCGGCAGCGGCGGCGAACCUCAACGCGGUGAGGGAGACCAUGGACGUUCUGUUGGAAAUUUCAAGAAUUCUGAAUACUGGCUUAGAUAUGGAAACUUUGUCUAUUUGUGUACGGCUUUGUGAACAAGGAAUUAACCCAGAAGCUUUAUCGUCGGUUAUUAAGGAACUUCGCAAGGCCACUGAAGCACUAAAGCAGUGAUAUGUACUGCUACUAUGGUUAGUAGUUUACUGCUAAGGAAACUGAAGCUUAUGGUGGCCAGCUUCUCCCAAGGACUUACUGAGACGUAGUUGAGCUGAGAUUUAAACUUGGACUCUGGCUUCAGGUUUUUAACUGCUGCUGAAAAUACGACAAGCUGACUUUCUGGAGAAAUCCUGAUGAGAUAUGUCAAGCUCUUCAAGAGGAUUUGAAGAUUGCAUUGUAGUCAAGAAUGUACAAUGAAAUUACUGCAUGCAGCAGUGUAGAAACAUUUUCCUUUUUAAAAGAAUUAUAAAACCAUAGCUUUAUAAAUCAGUGGAAAAUGGCUUACAGAGAGAACUAUCAGAUGUGUUUACAUCACAUCUUACUUUUUUUUUAACAGCUCUAAUGCAUUGGCAUUGCUGUAUUCAUAUUUAUGUAUUCCUUAUUUAUAGCUCUGAUAGCUUUAAUUUUCUAAGCAGUCUGUCUAUCAGAUGUGCACAUCUGCUGUGCCUGGUUGAAGUAUAGUGGAACCCAUCAGAAGUAAUGUAGUAGUUAUGACUUGUUGACAUUUCCAUUAUAAAAUUUAAUUUUGAAUUGUUUAUGCAAAAUAACCAUAGAUUUGUGUUGUAUUGGGCUAAAAGUUGACAGAAUUUCAGCCACCAUUUAUGAAUUUUGAUUUAGACUUACAACAUAUCAGAAUCUGUUAUAAGAGCACAGAAAUUUGAAAUGAUUUGUUCUAAUCUGCUCUUCUUUAACACAGAAUAUUUAGUUUUUUAAACAUAAAAGUUUCUCUGUCACUUAGCAGUACGAACCAGAUUGUUUUUGCAUUAAUUAAAAAAUAAAACUUAGAAACUUAGAUUUAAAAGUGGUAGUGCUUAGUAUUGUCAUUUGAAUGAAUCAUUUAAAUUUAAUGAAAAUAUUGACCAUAUUUUUCUGAGUUUUAUACUCUACAUAUGACAACCUAAAAAAAAAAAAAAAACACAUAAUGAAACAUUUCUGACAUGCAAAAUUCUUUGAAGUUUAUUACAUAAAAAUAGUUUGAGUGCUUAUCUAAUAAAUCCCUAAAUAGGAAAUCUCUUUCAACAAAUACGAUAUUUUCUGAAGGAAUAAAUUUCCAGCCAUUAAACAAAAGCUAAAUAAUCAAGUGUUCUGUAUCAAGAAUUAUAAGUAUUCCUUUCUAAGGUCACUUUGUCAUUAUUUUUUCCCUGAAAGUUUUAACUAAUCAAAGUGGUGGUUCCAAGUAAAUUUUAGAAAAUGUAGGAUAGUGUUAAUUCUGUUUUUGUAGCAGAAUCUUAUUGGAAUAUUUUUCCCAAGGCCGAUAGGAUUUUAAUCUGAUUUUAUUUUAGAUUUUGUUAGCUUCCAUUUAAAUGAUAGUAUAAGCAUUUACUCUUUAGCAGCAUUUUUUUGUUCUUCAGACAAAGUAACACUAAUAUUCAAGUGACAACCUUCUGCACUAUUAUAAAAAUCUAGUUUUAAUUAUUUUGACUGUAAGCACCUAGAAUCUUUACCAAGGACACUAGAAAGGUGUAUUAUUGGCAGACUUGGUUGGGAAACAAUAACGACUUGUGAUAAGUCAUUUAUUUGAUAGUAAACACUGCAGAUCCUGCAUGUUGUCACUCAUAAAAUCAUAAAGACAACAUUUUUGUCAAGCUCCAAAAUCGGUAUAUACUCUUAGGUCACAAGAGUUAAUAGUUUUAUUUAUGGUUUUGUAGAUUAAGUUAUUUAUGUUUGAUACAGAGCAGGAAAAUAUAUUGAGAAGGUAUAUGGUUACAGAGAACUUCUUUAAGUGUUACAUUUAAAUGUAAACAUAUAUUUUUAAUGCAUACUUAAGUACUAUUUAACAAAAUCAAAACAAAUUGUAAUGAUACAAUUGGCAGUGUUAUGCAUGUUGUCAGUGACAGAAAUAAAACCAUUUUGGUGAUACCGGCA
This is an RNA transcript of Canis lupus familiaris (dog), 2270 nucleotides long. It is a transcript of the gene named mitotic spindle organizing protein 1, with no coding region annotated. The record is from RefSeq and is a predicted model, not a curated record. Lineage: Eukaryota; Metazoa; Chordata; Mammalia; Carnivora; Canidae. The transcript has 4 exons.